Molecule: ribosomal RNA, 443 nt
Filed under: Meristogenys jerboa (Gunther's Borneo frog)
Lineage: Eukaryota; Metazoa; Chordata; Amphibia; Anura; Ranidae
Description: partial 12S rRNA
Rfam family: Bacterial small subunit ribosomal RNA
Source: RNAcentral
GCCUAGCCGUAAACAAUUUAUUUACAUAUUCUAACGCCAGGGCAUUACGAGCAAUGCUUAAAACCCAAAGGACUUGACGGUGUCCCACCCACCUAGAGGAGCCUGUUCUAUAAUCGAUAACCCCCGCUCUACCUAACCAUUCUUUGCCUAAUCAGUCUGUAUACCUCCGUCGAAAGCUUACCAUAUGAACGCCCAUAGUAAGCCCAAUGGCCGCCCGCCAAUACGUCAGGUCAAGGUGCAACUUAUAGGAUGGAAAGAAAUGGGCUACAAUUUCUAAAGUAGAAUAAACGAAAGACUGCUUGAAACCCCAGUCAUGAAGGAGGAUCUAGUAGUAAAAAGAGAAUAGAGAGUUCUUUUUAACUCGGCACUGGGACGCGUACACACCGCCCGUCACCCUCUUCAAUAGUUCUUUGUCCCGAUUAUUAACAAAUUAGCCACGUCUU